AUGAACUUAAUGAAACUUAUUGUCAACAUGUUAAAAGUUACUAAACGUUUGCAUGACAUGGAACGUCUUUGUGCAAAUGGAAUAAUUGUGUCAUGUUAUAGCAUGAUACAAGCCCAUGUUUACAUAUCAACUGUAUGUCUUAGCAUGUUACUGGCAUGCCUGUUAAAUUAAUCUCAAAGCUCAAUCUGUUGAAAUUUCAAAAAUGUAGCACUCAAAAAUUUGGACAUUUUCUAUAAUGUUGAUCCCUGAAAACAGUAUUUUCAAGUUGACAACAUACUGUACAGUGUAUAUGAACUUUUAUGAAUUUUAUGAUGGUGAAAAAUUAUGCUAAUAUGUAUUAAAUUAAACAAAAUUAAACAACAGAAGUCCAUUUACACCUAUUAGGUGUCUAGCAAAUAACAAGAUGCACUAUACACAGACACUAUACAAAGUAAGCUGCCAAGGCAGCCAUUUUGUCUUUAGGUUUUUUAGGAUUGUUACGGCGUCCCCUGCCCCGUCCCCGUCCUCCUCGUCUUGCACCCCCUCCCCGAUGCCUCAUGGUGGCAUGUUUGAGCUCCACCAGAUCCUGGAAAACCGGAUCACAGAAAACACAGCCGGUAUGUUGGGUCUCACCUGCAGGAAGUGGAGUGCGAGUCUUGUUGAAGUCCACCGCGACCAGAGAGGCGUCACAGACAUCGCAGCUCUCUUGAACAACCUAUGGGAAGAGAGAAAACCGCAGAAAUUGAUAGAGAAUAGAGGCAACGAAGUAGCGAGAGGGGAAGACAAGCAGCAAAGGUCAACAGGAUGCAUUCGAACCCGGGCCGCUGCGGACUCAGCCUUGUACAUGGUCCCCUACCACUGCCACAGCUGUGUCAUCAGCAAAACUGAUAAUGGUGUUAAGAGUCUGAAUUCCUGGGGUGCUUCAGUGUUAGUGGAAGAGGUAUGUCCACCCAUCCUCGCCACUUGGGGUCUGCCCAUCAGCAUGUCAAGGAUCCAAGUGAGGUGUUUAACUCCAGGUCCUUGAGCUUUGUGACAAGCCUGGUAGGGAAUUAUUGUGUUAAACACUGAACGGUAGUCAAUGAACAGCUACCUCACAGAGCUACAUUUCUUGUCCAGGUGAGAUAGGGUUGUGUGGAGGACGUGUGCUAUGGCCUCUUCUGUUGAUCGGUUGGGACAGUAGGCAAACUGUAGUUGGUCCAGUGUGCUGGGUGUGCAUAAUUUGAGGACCCAGCCACUGACACUGUCUGGUCCUGCUGCUUCCUGGGUUUAAAUGGUUUAACUCACUUGCUAGAGACGCAUCAGCACCUGACAAGGUAUAAGACCAAGACUACGAUAAGGGCCAGAUUUACUUCUUCUUCUUAUUAUUAUGAAGGAGGCCACAUUAAGCGUGUAUUCAGCACCUGAUUCAGUAAGACAGAAGCUCAUUAUGCAGUCAGCUUCUGGACUGAACCUGGUACUGACACAUACUAGACACAUACUGCAAAUGAAGGAGAGCUCUGAUCUUGAAUACAAAAUUUGGGUUGCACCUGAACAGAUAAUAUUAGUAAUAAUAUUACUCCUAAAUUAUAUUUGAAUCCUUAGCAUAUAUAAUUCUUAACGCAUUAGAAAACACUAAACACACUCAUGGGAAUUGAAAAGGAGAUGAAGUGAUAUAAUUAAAGCAAACCAAAGAGAGAGAGGGAGGCAGCAAGAGAGAGAAAGGAAGGAGCAGCAGGUCCAGCAGCAGCUCAGAGUGGAGGACGUGGAGAUGCUUUUAAUAUGGAUGUUAAUACUGAGGUAAAUGCAGCCCAACACACAAAAAUAUCUUAACAAAAGGAAAGAAAAGUUUAAUUCCAGCCUGUAGAGUUUUUACAGUUCCUUCAAAAAUAGUGUUUAUUCAUAGAUUCCCGUUACGCCAGCUACCGUUUACUUUUUUCCUGUCCUGUCAUGAAUAGUGAAAUUAACUCCAAUCCCUUGAUCCACAGGAUUCCCAAACAUAGCGCAAAUACUGGGGCUCUCCAAACUGGCUGGGUUACAAGGCUCCAGCUGAUUAGCCACUAUCUAACAACCACAAGAAUUACCACAAGAUAACACCCAGGUUGUGUCCUACCUUUCUUCAUAUCCCUGAAAGGCGGGUUGCUGAAGCAGUAUGGGCAUAGGGGGUAGCUCUUGCCCCGGGACCCAGAGGUCCACAGCACAAGCUCAAAGUCAUCCAGUGGACAGCGGAGCUCUUUAUACAGCUUGAUGGCUCCAUUCUGGGGAAGACUGUACGUCUCGUCACAGUGGGAGCAGUGGAGCCUGCUGGGCUUCGCCUGCAGAUAGAUGUUAGGAUCAGAUGUAAGGAUCAGAUCAAGUGCAGUUGAAACAACAAGGGAUCAACAUCAAGUCCUUCCCUAACCAACCUUAGAGACCAUACUGUCACCGAUUAUCAAAGAAAAAUGGAUGCUGUAUCUAUGUAUAAGUGUGUUUGUAGUCAGUCUUGUAGCACUAGUUAUUUGCAGUUUAAUACAACAUGCACCCUAAUUAGAAAUCUAGUUCUACUGUUGACCACUUACACUGUUGCUGACGAUAUCAUCUUGUAUGCAAGUAGGGCCUUAUUCACUAUGGGAACCUAACCAUCCAAAAUUUUUUCCAUAACCUUAAUUUUGAAUAACCUGUAAGUCUUUGGUUCUAGGUUCUACCUUGUAUAUUCAAAACAUUCUGCAUUGUAAAAUACAUCACUAAACCAAGACCAGACCAGGACAAAUCUUGUCUUUUUUAUGCACUUUUUUGAAAGGCGAGUGUACUUGUCAGCAAACAACAAUGCAAAACUGGAAUGCCCUUAAUGUAAAGGCCCCAUCUGCAGCAGUAGGUCAAUAGAAUGGAGCAGAGAAUGAAUAAGACCAGCACCACCACUGACUAUCUCUCUAGGGUGGGUUGCUUCAGGACAGUGUGUCCUGAAGCAACCCUUCCAUUCUCUCUUUCUCAAAUUCAAAUUAGCUUUAUAGUCAUGAAUGUAUAGCUCUCUGUCAGCUCUAUACCAUUAAAUCAACCCACUGCUCGAUUCUCUCAAUCACAAACUGGGGAAGUGCAGCUGAAGAAGCUGCUGGGGAACAGAUUAAGGGAUGCAGUGCAAUCCGUUCUCAGUUCUGAGCGCUUUUUGUGUAGUGUAGUGUUUGGUCACACUGUCCUGUUAUAUAGUUGGGGAAAAAAAACUCACUUUUGAAAAUGUUAUAUGAAUUGGAAAUACCAACAUCACUUGAAUGUUAGUGGAAAAUAUUAUAUUUGUAGCAUACUCCACAACACUGUGUAAACAAUCAGUUUGCAGUUUACACAGACAAAUGAAUAACAAAAAUGUAACAUAUUGAAACAUGCUUCCUUACAGUGCUAAUCUAGACGUCCUGUGUUAUUAAUGCCAUGUUGCUUCUGCAAGCAAGCCGUUUCUAUGCCCCUGUGAUUAUCUGGAACGUGGAUUUAGUACCACCUGCUAUGCAAUGCCAAAACUGGACUUACAGGAACUCAUCCACAAUGUGGGCAGAGUGCAAUGGAAACAAAAGUGGAACCUGUGACAAUGGCUUAGGGGUUGCUUAGUUACCACAGAGGAAAAGGCCUAAUGGGCUCUAUGGCAAACUGGUCAUUCACCUAUUGAUGACCACCAAACUGCCAUUAUUAUUUACACUAUCAUGAUUUAUUAUUAUUUUGGAGUUAUACAUUUUCACGUUCUGAAGCCACUGUAUGUAUGAAGAAAAAUAUUAUUAAAACACUUACAAUG
This is a long non-coding RNA of Micropterus dolomieu (smallmouth bass), 3709 nucleotides long. RefSeq lists it as uncharacterized. Lineage: Eukaryota; Metazoa; Chordata; Actinopteri; Centrarchiformes; Centrarchidae. The transcript is spliced from 4 exons. The record is from RefSeq and is a predicted model, not a curated record.